RNAcentral lists this long non-coding RNA (333 nucleotides) under Medicago truncatula (barrel medic). RNAcentral's name for it is "long non-coding RNA (MTRU_LNC008428)". Lineage: Eukaryota; Viridiplantae; Streptophyta; Magnoliopsida; Fabales; Fabaceae. The record is from RNAcentral.
GAAAACAACCUUAAAUUGUUUUGAAGCUUUAGCAUCUGAAUUGAUCAAAAUCAAAUUUCAAAUUGUCUCCUUCCAUUCUUCUCUUGUCUGAUUUCAAUCAUUGAAACUUCAUACAAAUUGUAAUCAAAAUCUCAUAUAGCUUUAGGGGUACUAAAGUGUUAGUUUGAGCAAAGUUUGUAAAAGUCUAAGUGGGUAACUUAACAAGAAGGUGCAAGCCUGCUGAGACUUAGAGAAUAUAUGUGUUGUAAUUGUUCAGUUGAACAAAGAUUGUAAGGUGUAGGAUUUGAGAGGUUAUCUCAAGCAUCAUAGUUGAAACUCUCACAAGAUUGCGAG